RNAcentral lists this ribosomal RNA (47 nucleotides) under uncultured Helotiales. Its description in RNAcentral is "partial 18S ribosomal RNA". It matches the Rfam family "Eukaryotic small subunit ribosomal RNA", at positions 1785 to 1831 of the family's 1831-position model. Lineage: Eukaryota; Fungi; Ascomycota; Leotiomycetes; Helotiales. The record is from RNAcentral.
UAAGUCGUAACAAGGUUUCCGUUGGUGAACCAGCGGAAGGAUCAUUA